This is a long non-coding RNA of Xiphophorus hellerii (green swordtail), 128 nucleotides long. RefSeq lists it as uncharacterized. The transcript has 3 exons. Lineage: Eukaryota; Metazoa; Chordata; Actinopteri; Cyprinodontiformes; Poeciliidae. The record is from RefSeq and is a predicted model, not a curated record.
UCAGUGUGUGUUUUUACUGUGUAUGGUUCACAAAAAAAUGUUUUCCUGACUGUCACAGUUGGUAAGAAACAAAGAUUCCCAUUAAAUUCCAUCAGAAAUGAAUGCGGGUCAGUUUUGACCCACUUAUG